Molecule: ribosomal RNA, 465 nt
Filed under: Vreelandella stevensii
Lineage: Bacteria; Pseudomonadati; Pseudomonadota; Gammaproteobacteria; Oceanospirillales; Halomonadaceae
Description: partial 16S ribosomal RNA
Rfam family: Bacterial small subunit ribosomal RNA
Source: RNAcentral
CCUACGGGAGGCAGCAGUGGGGAAUAUUGGACAAUGGGCGAAAGCCUGAUCCAGCCAUGCCGCGUGUGUGAAGAAGGCCUUCGGGUUGUAAAGCACUUUCAGUGGGGAAGAAAGCCUUGGGGCUAAUACCCUCGAGGAAGGACAUCACCCACAGAAGAAGCACCGGCUAACUCCGUGCCAGCAGCCGCGGUAAUACGGAGGGUGCGAGCGUUAAUCGGAAUUACUGGGCGUAAAGCGCGCGUAGGCGGUCUGAUAAGCCGGUUGUGAAAGCCCCGGGCUCAACCUGGGAACGGCAUCCGGAACUGUCAGGCUAGAGUGCAGGAGAGGAAGGUAGAAUUCCCGGUGUAGCGGUGAAAUGCGUAGAGAUCGGGAGGAAUACCAGUGGCGAAGGCGGCCUUCUGGACUGACACUGACGCUGAGGUGCGAAAGCGUGGGUAGCAAACAGGAUUAGAUACCCGUGUAGUC